UACGGAGGAUCCGAGCGUUAUCCGGAUUUAUUGGGUUUAAAGGGUGCGUAGGCUGCCCGAUAAGUUAGAGGUGAAAUCCACGGGCUUAACCUGUGAACUGCCUCUAAUACUGUCGGGCUAGAGAAUAGUUGCAGAUGGCGGAAUGUGUAGUGUAGCGGUGAAAUGCUUAGAUAUUACACAGAACACCGAUUGCGAAGGCAGCUGUCUAAGCUAUAUCUGACGCUGAGGCACGAAAGCGUGGGGAGCAAACAGG
Molecule: ribosomal RNA, 253 nt
Filed under: uncultured bacterium
Lineage: Bacteria
Description: partial 16S ribosomal RNA
Rfam family: Bacterial small subunit ribosomal RNA
Source: RNAcentral